UACGUAGGUGGCAAGCGUUGUCCGGAAUUAUUGGGCGUAAAGCGCGCGCAGGCGGUCUUUUAAGUCUGAUGUGAAAGCCCACGGCUCAACCGUGGAGGGUCAUUGGAAACUGGGGGACUUGAGUACAGAAGAGAAGAGUGGAAUUCCACGUGUAGCGGUGAAAUGCGUAGAGAUGUGGAGGAACACCAGUGGCGAAGGCGACUCUUUGGUCUGUAACUGACGCUGAGGCGCGAAAGCGUGGGAGCAAACAGG
This 252-nucleotide ribosomal RNA is filed under the name uncultured bacterium. Its description in RNAcentral is "partial 16S ribosomal RNA". It matches the Rfam family "Bacterial small subunit ribosomal RNA", at positions 524 to 776 of the family's 1533-position model. The record is from RNAcentral.